RNAcentral lists this ribosomal RNA (700 nucleotides) under uncultured bacterium. Its description in RNAcentral is "bacterial SSU rRNA". It matches the Rfam family "Bacterial small subunit ribosomal RNA", at positions 94 to 828 of the family's 1533-position model. The record is from RNAcentral.
AGUGGCGGACGGGUGAGUAACGCGUAAGAAUCUAACUUCAGGACGGGGACAACAGUGGGAAACGACUGCUAAUACCCGAUGUGCCGCGAGGUGAAACCUAAUUGGCCUGAAGAAGAGCUUGCGUCUGAUUAGCUAGUCGGUGGGGUAAGAGCCUACCAAGGCGACGAUCAGUAGCUGGUCUGAGAGGAUGAGCAGCCACACUGGGACUGAGACACGGCCCAGACUCCUACGGGAGGCAGCAGUGGGGAAUUUUCCGCAAUGGGCGAAAGCCUGACGGAGCAACGCCGCGUGAGGGAGGAAGGUCUUUGGAUUGUAAACCUCUUUUCUCAAGGAAGAAGUUCUGACGGUACUUGAGGAAUCAGCCUCGGCUAACUCCGUGCCAGCAGCCGCGGUAAUACGGGGGAGGCAAGCGUUAUCCGGAAUUAUUGGGCGUAAAGCGUCCGCAGGUGGUCAGCCAAGUCUGCCGUCAAAUCAGGUUGCUUAACGACCUAAAGGCGGUGGAAACUGGCAGACUAGAGAGCAGUAGGGGUAGCAGGAAUUCCCAGUGUAGCGGUGAAAUGCGUAGAGAUUGGGAAGAACAUCGGUGGCGAAAGCGUGCUACUGGGCUGUAUCUGACACUCAGGGACGAAAGCUAGGGGAGCGAAAGGGAUUAGAUACCCCUGUAGUCCUAGCCGUAAACGAUGGAUACUAGGCGUGGCUU